This 254-nucleotide ribosomal RNA is filed under the name uncultured bacterium. RNAcentral's name for it is "partial 16S ribosomal RNA". It matches the Rfam family "Bacterial small subunit ribosomal RNA", at positions 524 to 777 of the family's 1533-position model. The record is from RNAcentral.
UACGUAGGUGGCAAGCGUUGUCCGGAUUUACUGGGCGUAAAGAGCGCGCAGGCGGUCGUUCAAGUCGCGUGUGAAAGCCCCCGGCUCAACUGGGGAGGGUCACGCGAUACUGAUCGACUCGAAGGCAGGAGAGGGUAGUGGAAUUCCCGGUGUAGUGGUGAAAUGCGUAGAUAUCGUAAGGAAGACCAGUGGCGAAGGCGGGUCUCUGGACAGUUCCUGACGCUGAGGCACGAAGGUCAGGGGAGCAAACGGGG